Molecule: small RNA, 95 nt
Filed under: Treponema pedis str. T A4
Lineage: Bacteria; Pseudomonadati; Spirochaetota; Spirochaetia; Treponematales; Treponemataceae
Description: TD-2 RNA
Rfam family: TD-2 RNA
About the family: non coding RNA found in Treponema denticola
Source: Rfam by way of RNAcentral
CCCGCCAUGGACGGCGGCGGUUUUAGCCUUGAGAGUUUUGCGUACGCAAAACUCUGAGAUGAAAAAGGUACAAGGAUGUACGGUUUUUGAUGGAG